AAUGUUUUGAACAGCCAACAAUAAAAAAUUAAAAAAAAAAAAAAAAAAAGAUUCCUUCCGCAGAGCGGAACCGACUGUGGCCUCGCACUUACGCUGCAUUGGGUGUCCUGAGCCAUCCAGAGGCCACCUGAAGCACGCAGGAGCUGUGCCUAGGCACGGACAAGCGUGAUGCCAUUCUGCACAAGGGACUCGAGUGUCCCAGCAUUGGGUAUCCUAGGGAUCCUGGGCCAGUUCCCUGCAACACCAGGGAUGGCUGUUCUCGGAGGCCUCCUCUGCCAGGAGAUCACCCCACACAGAAGCACCCGUCAGUCGCUGCACCCAACUCUCAACCUGCACCCAAC
This 341-nucleotide long non-coding RNA is filed under the name Marmota monax (woodchuck). The record is from RNAcentral. Lineage: Eukaryota; Metazoa; Chordata; Mammalia; Rodentia; Sciuridae.